ACUCGAGCCAUUCGCACAAUGU
This 22-nucleotide microRNA is filed under the name Eisenia fetida (common brandling worm). RNAcentral's name for it is "Efe-Mir-375_5p* (star (passenger))". The record is from RNAcentral. Lineage: Eukaryota; Metazoa; Annelida; Clitellata; Crassiclitellata; Lumbricidae.